RNAcentral lists this long non-coding RNA (348 nucleotides) under Physcomitrium patens. RNAcentral describes it as "long non-coding RNA (PPAT_LNC013841)". The record is from RNAcentral. Lineage: Eukaryota; Viridiplantae; Streptophyta; Bryopsida; Funariales; Funariaceae.
AAAAGGUGGUUUUGAUGCACAUCUAGCUCUCACAUUUUGGCCACUAUCCUCUUUGUCUGUAGUUUGCUUUGCACUUUCAAUGGCUAUGACAUUUCCUCUCUCAAACCCUUAAUUGGAACUACUACGCUCGAAAACAUAAGAAAUACAAGAAAUAGCAAUCUCAGAAAACAACCAAAAAUGACAACACAGAAUGACCUCUAAUUGGUGCUCCACUCCUAUUCUCUUACUACCGGUCAUCAUGACAACAUGUUACCCAUACUGUCCAUUUCUCACCUCCGUCCCAUCUGACACAUUAACAAUUACUAAUUAUCCUUUCAGCCAUCUCUAUAUUCUAACACACUUAUACCA